CGCGUAGGCGGUUCGUUAAGUCCUGUGUGAAAUCCCCCGGCUCAACUGGGGAACUGCACAGGAAACUAGCGGGCUUGAGUUCGGGAGAGGGAAGCGGAAUUCCGGGUGUAGCGGUGAAAUGCGUAGAUAUCCGGAGGAACACCGGUGGCGAAGGCGGCUUCCUGGACCGACACUGACGCUGAGGCGCGAAAGCUAGGGGAGCAAAACG
Molecule: ribosomal RNA, 208 nt
Filed under: uncultured bacterium
Lineage: Bacteria
Description: partial 16S ribosomal RNA
Rfam family: Bacterial small subunit ribosomal RNA
Source: RNAcentral